AAGGCAAGAGUAUGGAUACAUAUACCCAUUUUCGGCAUGGGGGAUACUUACUGGGUUUGCUUUG
This 64-nucleotide transfer RNA is filed under the name Sacculina confragosa. RNAcentral describes it as "tRNA-Arg". Lineage: Eukaryota; Metazoa; Arthropoda; Thecostraca; Sacculinidae. The record is from RNAcentral.